AUACUAUUCCUUUGGAAAUCAUGAUCUGCUCAACGUUGUUUGUUUGUACGAUUCUAUGCGUACAGUUGACGCUGACAUUGCAACCUGAUGUCGACUUGACAGAAAAAGGAGGAACUCAGUACAGAUCGCAACUUCCCAUAUAUAUCAACGAAGAUUUAAACUCAGAGGUAGAUGAAGAAUUGAAAUAUAUCUUGGCCUUUUUCUGGCAACCAACACGUAGCGGACGAGAAAUUAACGUGCAUGAAAGGAAAAACGUUCGCUAUUAGAUGGCAUCUGUAAAGAAGACAUUAUUUUUACCUGAAAAUACUGCAAUUCAAAAGCCAAAUGCAAUCAUCUUUAAAAUUAAAUUUUGAAACGCUGCGUUACUCUUGGAUGCAUAACGAAUAUGUGAAUUUUAUGAUUACAAUCAGCAAUAAAGUAUUCAUCAAAACUGC
This is a long non-coding RNA of Saccostrea echinata, 434 nucleotides long. RefSeq lists it as uncharacterized. The transcript has 4 exons. The record is from RefSeq and is a predicted model, not a curated record. NCBI's taxonomy places the organism in Eukaryota, Metazoa, Mollusca, Bivalvia, Ostreida, Ostreidae.